AUUGAACGCUGGCGGCAUGCCUUACACAUGCAAGUCGAACGGUAACAGGUUAAGCUGACGAGUGGCGAACGGGUGAGUAAUGUAUCGGAACGUGCCCAGUCGUGGGGGAUAACUGCUCGAAAGAGCAGCUAAUACCGCAUACGACCAGAGGGUGAAAGCGGGGGAUCGCAAGACCUCGCGCGAUUGGAGCGGCCGAUAUCAGAUUAGGUAGUUGGUGAGGUAAAGGCUCACCAAGCCGACGAUCUGUAGCUGAUCUGAGAGGACGACCAGCCACACUGGGACUGAGACACGGCCCAGGCUCCUACGGGAGGCAGCAGUGGGGAAUUUUGGACAAUGGGCGCAAGCCUGAUCCAGCCAUGCCGCGUGCGGGAAGAAGGCCUUCGGGUUGUAAACCGCUUUUGUCAGGGAAGAAAAGGUUCUGGCUAAUACCUGGGACUCAUGACGGUACCUGAAGAAUAAGCACCGGCUAACUACGUGCCAGCCGCCGCAGUAA
This 493-nucleotide ribosomal RNA is filed under the name uncultured bacterium. RNAcentral's name for it is "partial 16S ribosomal RNA". It matches the Rfam family "Bacterial small subunit ribosomal RNA", at positions 30 to 523 of the family's 1533-position model. The record is from RNAcentral.